This 549-nucleotide ribosomal RNA is filed under the name Funneliformis mosseae. Its description in RNAcentral is "SSU rRNA". It matches the Rfam family "Eukaryotic small subunit ribosomal RNA", at positions 548 to 1098 of the family's 1831-position model. The record is from RNAcentral. Lineage: Eukaryota; Fungi; Glomeromycota; Glomeromycetes; Glomerales; Glomeraceae.
UUGGAGGGCAAGUCUGGUGCCAGCAGCCGCGGUAAUUCCAGCUCCAAUAGCGUAUAUUAAAGUUGUUGCAGUUAAAAAGCUCGUAGUUGAAUUUCGGGGUCAGUAGAUUGGUCAUGCCACUGGUAUGUACUGGUCUCACUGAUUCCUCCUUCCUGAUGAGCCGUAAUGCCAUUAAUUUGGUGUUGCGAGGAAUCUGGACUGUUACUUUGAAAAAAUUAGAGUGUUUAAAGCAGGCUAACGCUUGAAUACAUUAGCAUGGAAUAAUGAAAUAGGACGUUCGAUCUUAUUUUGUUGGUUUCUAAGAUUGACGUAAUGAUUAAUAGGGAUAGUUGGGGGCAUUAGUAUUCAAUUGUCAGAGGUGAAAUUCUUGGAUUUAUUGAAGACUAACUACUGCGAAAGCAUUUGCCAAGGAUGUUUUCAUUAAUCAAGAACGAAAGUUAGGGGAUCGAAGACGAUCAGAUACCGUCGUAGUCUUAACCAUAGACUAUGCCGACUAGGGAUCGGAUGAUGUUAAUUUUUUAAUGACUCAUUCGGCGCCUUACGGGAAAC